Molecule: ribosomal RNA, 1490 nt
Filed under: uncultured bacterium
Lineage: Bacteria
Description: bacterial SSU rRNA
Rfam family: Bacterial small subunit ribosomal RNA
Source: RNAcentral
CAUGCAGUCGAACGCCGAGUGCCGUGACGCUCCUGAUCGGACCCUCCGACGUCCCAACGCCUUCGGGCCGCGGGACCGACGAGGCAACGUGACGGAGCUGAUCGGAUUCACACUCGGAGUGGCGAACGGGUGAGUAACGCGUGAAUAACCAACCCUUUGGUGUCGGAUAACCUUACGAAAGUUUGGCUAAUCCGACAUGAGGUUGCCUCGCGACAGCGAGGUAAUCAAAGGCCCCUCGGGGUCGCCGAAGGACGGGUUCGCGUCCUAUUAGCUAGUUGGUGAGGUAAAUGCUCACCAAGGCGAUGAUGGGUAGCUGGUCUGAGAGGACGAUCAGUCACACUGGCACUGAGACACGGGCCAGACUCCUACGGGAGGCAGCAGUGGGGAAUCUUGCACAAUGGUCGAAAGGCUGAUGCAGCGACGCCGCAUGGGGGAUGACGGCCCUCGGGUUGUAAACCCCUAUCCAGCGGGAGGAAUAGGGACGUCAGGUAAUGGGCGUCCUUUGACGUUACCGCUGAGAGUAGCUCCGGCUAACUACGUGCCAGCAGCCGCGGUAAUACGUAGGGAGCAAGCGUUAUCCGGAAUCACUGGGCGUAAAGGGUGCGCAGGCGGGCAUGCAAGUCUGACGUGAAAGCCCCGGGCUUAACUCGGGAAUUGCGUUGGAAACUGCAUGUCUUGAGGACCAGAGAGGCAGGCGGAAUUCGCGGUGUAGCGGUGAAAUGCGUAGAUAUCGCGAGGAACACCCGUGGCGAAAGCGACCUGCUAGAUGGUUCCUGACGCUGAGGCACGAAAGCGUGGGGAGCGAACGGGAUUAGAUACCCCGGUAGUCCACGCCCUAAACGAUGAGCACUAGGUGUGAGGGAUUCAACUCCCUCGUGCCGUAGCCAACGCAUUAAGUGCUCCGCCUGGGAAUUACGACCGCAAGGUUGAAACUCAAAGGAAUUGACGGGGGCCCGCACAAGCGGUGGAGCACGUGGUUUAAUUGGAUGCAAAGCCACGAACCUUACCAGGCCUUGACAUGUGAGUGGUAGGGACCUUGAAAGAGGACCCGACUCCUGCUUAGCAGGAGAGCUCUCACAGGUGGUGCAUGGCUGUCGUCAGCUCGUGCCGUGAGGUGUUGGGUUAAGUCCCGCAACGAGCAAAACCCCUACCCUUAGUUGCCAGCCUUGAGUUGGGGACUCUAAGGGAACUGCCCGGGAAAACCGGGAGGAAGGUGGGGAUGACGUCAAGUCCUUAUGCCCCUUAUGGCCUGGGCGACACACGUGCUACAAUGGGUGGUACAACGGGUAGCAACACCGCGAGGUGAAGCGAAUCCCAUAAAGCCAUUCCCAGUUCGGAUUGCAGUCUGCAACUCGACUGCAUGAAGCCGGAAUCGCUAGUAAUCGCAGAUCAGCCAUGCUGCGGUGAAUACGUUCUCGGGCCUUGUACACACCGCCCGUCACACCACAAAAGUCGGCAACACCCGAAGUCGGUGACCUUCGAGGCACCGC